Molecule: transfer RNA, 65 nt
Filed under: Conaspidia wangi
Lineage: Eukaryota; Metazoa; Arthropoda; Insecta; Hymenoptera; Tenthredinidae
Description: tRNA-Gly
Source: RNAcentral
AUUUAUAUAAUAUAUUUAGUAUAUUUGAUUUCCAAUCAAGAAGUUUAAUUAAUUUAAUAUAAAUG